This 2160-nucleotide ribosomal RNA is filed under the name Enterobacter hormaechei. RNAcentral describes it as "partial 23S ribosomal RNA". It matches the Rfam family "Bacterial large subunit ribosomal RNA", at positions 1 to 2187 of the family's 2925-position model. The record is from RNAcentral. Lineage: Bacteria; Pseudomonadati; Pseudomonadota; Gammaproteobacteria; Enterobacterales; Enterobacteriaceae. RNAcentral also lists the same sequence under 1 other name.
UUAAGCGACUAAGCGUACACGGUGGAUGCCCUGGCAGUCAGAGGCGAUGAAGGACGUGCUAAUCUGCGAAAAGCGCCGGCGAGGUGAUAUGAACCCUUGACCCGGCGAUGUCCGAAUGGGGAAACCCAGUGUGUUCCGACACACUAUCGUUAACUGAAUACAUAGGUUAACGAGGCGAACCGGGGGAACUGAAACAUCUAAGUACCCCGAGGAAAAGAAAUCAACCGAGAUUCCCCCAGUAGCGGCGAGCGAACGGGGAGCAGCCCGGAGUCUGAAUCAGCUUGUGUGUUAGUGGAACGGUCUGGAAAGUCCGACGGUACAGGGUGAUAGUCCCGUACACGAAAACACACUUGCUGUGAACUCGAAGAGUAGGGCGGGACACGUGGUAUCCUGUCUGAAUAUGGGGGGACCAUCCUCCAAGGCUAAAUACUCCUGACUGACCGAUAGUGAACCAGUACCGUGAGGGAAAGGCGAAAAGAACCCCGGCGAGGGGAGUGAAAAAGAACCUGAAACCGUGUACGUACAAGCAGUGGGAGCCUCUUUAUGGGGUGACUGCGUACCUUUUGUAUAAUGGGUCAGCGACUUAUAUUCUGUAGCAAGGUUAACCGUAUAGGGGAGCCGAAGGGAAACCGAGUCUUAACUGGGCGUUAAGUUGCAGGGUAUAGACCCGAAACCCGGUGAUCUAGCCAUGGGCAGGUUGAAGGUUGGGUAACACUAACUGGAGGACCGAACCGACUAAUGUUGAAAAAUUAGCGGAUGACCUGUGGCUGGGGGUGAAAGGCCAAUCAAACCGGGAGAUAGCUGGUUCUCCCCGAAAGCUAUUUAGGUAGCGCCUCGUGAAUUCAUCUUCGGGGGUAGAGCACUGUUUCGGCUAGGGGGCCAUCCCGGCUUACCAACCCGAUGCAAACUACGAAUACCGAAGAAUGUUAUCACGGGAGACACACGGCGGGUGCUAACGUCCGUCGUGAAGAGGGAAACAACCCAGACCGCCAGCUAAGGUCCCAAAGUCAUGGUUAAGUGGGAAACGAUGUGGGAAGGCACAGACAGCCAGGAUGUUGGCUUAGAAGCAGCCAUCAUUUAAAGAAAGCGUAAUAGCUCACUGGUCGAGUCGGCCUGCGCGGAAGAUGUAACGGGGCUAAACCAUGCACCGAAGCUGCGGCAGCGACACUAUGUGUUGUUGGGUAGGGGAGCGUUCUGUAAGCCGUUGAAGGUGUGCUGUGAGGCAUGCUGGAGGUAUCAGAAGUGCGAAUGCUGACAUAAGUAACGAUAAAGCGGGUGAAAAGCCCGCUCGCCGGAAGACCAAGGGUUCCUGUCCAACGUUAAUCGGGGCAGGGUGAGUCGACCCCUAAGGCGAGGCCGAAAGGCGUAGUCGAUGGGAAACAGGUUAAUAUUCCUGUACUUGGUGUUACUGCGAAGGGGGGACGGAGAAGGCUAUGUCAGCCGGGCGACGGUUGUCCCGGUUUAAGCAUGUAGGCGGAGGUUCCAGGUAAAUCCGGUACCUUGUUAACGCUGAGGUGUGAUGACGAGGCACUACGGUGCUGAAGUGAUAAAUGCCCUGCUUCCAGGAAAAGCCUCUAAGCAUCAGGUAACACGAAAUCGUACCCCAAACCGACACAGGUGGUCAGGUAGAGAAUACCAAGGCGCUUGAGAGAACUCGGGUGAAGGAACUAGGCAAAAUGGUGCCGUAACUUCGGGAGAAGGCACGCUGAUAUGUAGGUGAAGCCCCUGCGGGCGGAGCUGAAAUCAGUCGAAGAUACCAGCUGGCUGCAACUGUUUAUUAAAAACACAGCACUGUGCAAACACGAAAGUGGACGUAUACGGUGUGACGCCUGCCCGGUGCCGGAAGGUUAAUUGAUGGGGUUAGCGGCAACGCGAAGCUCUUGAUCGAAGCCCCGGUAAACGGCGGCCGUAACUAUAACGGUCCUAAGGUAGCGAAAUUCCUUGUCGGGUAAGUUCCGACCUGCACGAAUGGCGUAAUGAUGGCCAGGCUGUCUCCACCCGAGACUCAGUGAAAUUGAACUCGCUGUGAAGAUGCAGUGUACCCGCGGCAAGACGGAAAGACCCCGUGAACCUUUACUAUAGCUUGACACUGAACACUGGUCCUUGAUGUGUAGGAUAGGUGGGAGGCUUUGAAGCGUGGACGCCAGUCUGCGUGGAGCC